GGGGAAGUAGCUCAAUGGUAGAGCAUUCCUCAGUCCCUGGGUUCAAUCCUUAGCUCCACCA
This 61-nucleotide transfer RNA is filed under the name Heterocephalus glaber (naked mole-rat). It matches the Rfam family "tRNA". Rfam says of the family: Transfer RNA (tRNA) molecules are approximately 80 nucleotides in length. Their secondary structure includes four short double-helical elements and three loops (D, anti-codon, and T loops). The record is from Rfam by way of RNAcentral. Lineage: Eukaryota; Metazoa; Chordata; Mammalia; Rodentia; Bathyergidae.